RNAcentral lists this ribosomal RNA (279 nucleotides) under uncultured bacterium. RNAcentral describes it as "partial 16S ribosomal RNA". It matches the Rfam family "Bacterial small subunit ribosomal RNA", at positions 506 to 784 of the family's 1533-position model. The record is from RNAcentral.
UGCCAGCCGCCGCGGUAAUACGGAGGGUGCAAGCGUUAUCCGGAUUUAUUGGGUUUAAAGGGUCCGUAGGCGGGUCUUUAAGUCAGUGGUGAAAGCCUGCAGCUCAACUGUAGAACUGCCAUUGAUACUGGAGACCUUGAGUACAGCUGAAGUUGGCGGAAUGUGUCAUGUAGCGGUGAAAUGCAUAGAUAUGACACAGAACACCGAUUGCGAAGGCAGCUAACUAAACUGUAACUGACGCUGAGGGACGAAAGCGUGGGGAGCGAACAGGAUUAGAUA